UCUCAAACCAUUCAUUCCCCAGCGCAAGCCAAGAAAUGCAGAAGAGGUCCAAACAUGUUGAAUAUCCACCAUGAAGACCACCUUGGGUUUUGCCAUUUUUUUAUAACAAUUUGCUGACAUGAAAAUUGACUGUUAUGUACUUCUUUUGAAAUCCUACUGUACUAUGAAUUCUUUAGUUUGCGUGAGGGAAAUAUCUAAUGGUAGCAGACUACUUAUUUUGGACAACAUAAAAUGACCUGCUGUAAGUAAGUAUUUUAAAUGAAAUACUGGCUGAAUAAUCAUGAGAUUAAUUACAAUUCUGAAUAAUUUUCUACUGUGCCUGCCACUUGGUAGCUAGCAAGAGGAGCAGACAUGAUGUUCAUUUGUGACUCAUUUUGUGGUCCAUGCAUAUGGAUCCUCUGAAUAUUAGCAAAGUAAACAUUCAAGGUUUCUCUGGAAUUCAUCAAGUGGACUGACUAUCUGCAUUGCCCAGUUGCUUGCAGAAAUUUAGCUCACUGUCAUCUCUUCAAUUCAGCAACCUAGAAUGAUGCAGCAUAACUUUGGGAAACAGCAGCAUUAAAUUAGAGAUGCAAGCUGCAGACUGUAAUAUUAAAAAUGUGUUCUCCUACUGUGGCCUAAUUUGCCUUUUUCUUUUUAUGCUGAUAAUGUAUCUGAACCCACACUGUGAGCAGUGUGUAAUAAGUUUCUAGGCUUUUGGCAUCUGUUAUGGACAAACUGUGGAUUCUUUGCAGCUUCAAACAGCAAAUGAAAUGAGAAGAUCGAUGGAAUUCCUGCCUACAUGUGUGACAUGGAAAUGUGCCUAAACAAAUGUAACUUUGCAGCAGGAGCACUUAAAUUGUGUUGAGGCUAAAAAAACAGAUCUUGCUUAUCACAUGAAUUAAUUAACUGCAAAACAUUUCUUUCUCCCGUUGUUACACAAAGUAAAGGGCUGGGGAUUUGCAUCCUGUAAUUCAGCAUAUAAAACUGCUGUCAGAACCUCUGGCUCAGGAAACCCAGAAACGGCAGGAUGCAGGAAGUGUAACCAGGGGAAGGAUCACCUCGUGCUUGCCUUGCUCUGAUACUUUUCCUUAGGCAUCUGCUACUGGCCGCUCUCAGAGCCAGGAUAUCCAACUAGAUAGACCUUUGGUCUGACCCAGCAUGGCCACUCUUAUGUAAGAAUACAUGUGAUCACGGCUGGUUUUGAUCUCCAGCCCCUUCCAGGGCUGGAUCACUAUUGAGGAUGAAUGAAACUGUGACUGGAGUUAAUUUUAAAACACUGUUAUUCAGGUUUGGAGUCAUUUCAAGGAAUGUUGUGCUGUCCAAAAAUAUGAAAAUCCACUGGAUAUACAGUCCUACUCAGGAGAGGUAAAUUAUAGAUGUUCACAUGUUCUAAAAGGAUUUGGAGUAACAAAGAAAUUGUUACCUUGUGAUUCAGCAACAUGAGAUACCUUGAUGGGUGUUACACUUAACUCUCUACACCCUUCCAGUGUAGCCUGAUAUGCGUGUGCCUCAGUUUUGCAGUAAUAAUCUGGAAAUAAACAUAUUUUCUCAUUCUCCUUG
Aquila chrysaetos chrysaetos is the source of this 1539-nucleotide long non-coding RNA. RefSeq lists it as uncharacterized. The record is from RefSeq and is a predicted model, not a curated record. Lineage: Eukaryota; Metazoa; Chordata; Aves; Accipitriformes; Accipitridae. The transcript is spliced from 2 exons.